CACGUAGGAGGCGAGCGUUGUCCGGAAUCAUUGGGCGUAAAGAGCGCGCAGGCGGCUUGGCAAGUCGGGUGUGAAAUCCCGGGGCUCAACCCCGGGACUGCAUUCGAUACUGUCAGGCUAGAGGUAGGUAGGGGAGAUCGGAAUUCCUGGUGUAGCGGUGAAAUGCGUAGAUAUCUGGAGGAACACCGGUGGCGAAGGCAGCAUCCUGGACCGAUACUGACGCUGAGGAGCGAAAGCCAGGGGAGCAAACGGG
RNAcentral lists this ribosomal RNA (253 nucleotides) under uncultured bacterium. RNAcentral's name for it is "partial 16S ribosomal RNA". It matches the Rfam family "Bacterial small subunit ribosomal RNA", at positions 524 to 776 of the family's 1533-position model. The record is from RNAcentral.